Long non-coding RNA from Apaloderma vittatum (bar-tailed trogon), 643 nucleotides. RefSeq lists it as uncharacterized. Lineage: Eukaryota; Metazoa; Chordata; Aves; Trogoniformes; Trogonidae. The record is from RefSeq and is a predicted model, not a curated record. The transcript has 3 exons.
CAUGGCGUCGCGUUCUGUCCCUCCAGGGCUGGAGCAGCGCGUACUCCAUCGAGUCGGUGAUCAUGCAGAUCAGCGCGACUCUGGUGAAAGGGAAAGCGCGAGUACAAUUCGGAGCUAAUAAGAAUCAGUACAGCCUGACGAGAGCGCAGCAGUCCUACAAGUCCCUGGUGCAGAUCCACGAGAAGAAUGGCUGGUACACACCGCCCAAGGAGGACGGCUAGCACGCGCCGCAGCACCCAUCCCAUCGUCUGCUGGAUGCUCCACUUGGAUCGUAACGACGCCUCUUGGCUCUCUCCCCGGACGUGGUAGCUCUGCCUGUUGCAGGACAAUAACGGCUGUUAAAAAACUCUAAAAAAAAAAAAAACCCAACCAAAACUGUUUUAAGCAGUUGGACUGACCUAAAACACUUGCUGGACCCUUGCUGUCAGGCGUUCAUGUUAAAACAAACUUUUGAGCCUCUUGUAUUGCUGGAAACUUUCGACUCUACUCCAGUCUAGAGCGUCCUCCUUACCUAUGCUAUGGAUUUAAUUUAUUUUCUUAUUUCAUGUACACUGCUUUUUUUUGUUACAGUGUAUGAUGGAUGUGUAUGGAAAAUGUAUCUUUGGAGAAAAAAAAAAAACAAAUUACAGUUUGUUAAUUUGAA